RNAcentral lists this long non-coding RNA (8408 nucleotides) under Olea europaea subsp. europaea. The record is from RNAcentral. Lineage: Eukaryota; Viridiplantae; Streptophyta; Magnoliopsida; Lamiales; Oleaceae.
CACAAACACACAUUAAAGUGUGUUGAACGAGAGAGAACGUGGAGAAGAGGAGAAAGUGAAGAUAAGAAAAAGAAAGGAAUGAAAAAAAAAGGAAAAGGAAAGAAGAAAUCUUGUGCCAACUACCUCAAUCUUGUUUAUUUAAUUCUUCAAGAGGUAAGGUUAAUAAUUUAUGAUUUAGUUUUUGUAAAUUUUUGUUUAGGGUUUUAAAUUUAUAACUUAUACUUGAAAAAUAUGAUAAGGAAGCUAACUAUUUGAGUAUUUGGAGCUAGUUAUUCUAGUGGAUUGGAAAAAAUGAUAUUUAGAUAUUAGGGUUUUGUCAUAUAUGGCUUAAUCCGAAAAUUUGGGGAAAAAUAUGAAUUCUUGUUAUUUUCCCUUGUGAUUGUUUUAUGGUAUUAUUAAGUUAGAUUAGUUGAAAAUAACUUAUCUUAUACUUGAAUUCUCACUUUGGAUGAAUAUGAAGAAUAUAAGAAAUGAGCUUUUGAUAAGAUUUAUGUAUUUAGUUAAAAGAGAAUUUAAAUAAAGAAUGUGGACGAUUAUUAUCAUGAAAGCUUGUUGAAUCUUUAAAAGGCAGCCGGGAAUGGUUAGUAUUAACGAGUGAGAGAUGUAGAGUGAUUCGAAAUUAAGUGAACGUAUGUUUAAGUAAUCAAAUGAAAUAUAAGUAUUAAGUCUCAGUUUAUUACUUAUUGAGGGAUAUAUAUUUUAUUUUGCUGAUAAGAAAGGGUUAUUAUUGAGAAAUCCCUUGUAACUGUAUAUGGAUGGAAUUGAAGUGGCUUAUAUUUAUGAUCGUUUCAAGAGGGGAUUUGGACGUGGGAACAGCAUUCCAGCCCCGUUAGUCCAGCCUAUAUCUGUGAGUGGAGAAUCUAUAUUUUCAAAAAGAAGAUUUUCUUUUUAUUUUAUAGAAGCAUGUUAAUUACAUGAAAUGCUUUAUUUUCGAGAAAUGGUAAAUGAGUAUGAUUGUUUUGAAAUUAUCAUAAAAUAAUUGAUGUGAUUAUCUUACUCUAGUGCACUGCAGGGCUACGACCGUGUACUAGAGUCAUGUAUUUAACUCUUAUCCACUGAUGGGCUACGACCGUGGGGUAAAGGUAUCUAAUAUACACUGAGGGGCUACAGUCGUGUGUAAGGGUAACUCUUAUCCACUGAGGGGCUACGGCCGUGGGUAAAGAUAUCCAUUAUGCACUGAGGAGCUACAGUCGUGUAUAAGGAUGAUUAGGUUGUUUCCAUCUUGUACACCGAGGGGCUACGGUCGUGUACAUAAUAUUGAUCAGACGGUUUAUGUACGUAUGAUUUAUAGCGUUCAGAUCAUUAGUAGAUGUAUACAUGGGAUAUAUUUUGAUGUGAAUUUUAAUUAUUUAGUGGAUUAUUAGCUUUCUGCUUACAUUUUUCUCGCUUACAGUUCAGCUCUUGGAUUUUAGACUAUGGUUUUUGAUUAUUGAAUUGUCUAAUGUACUUACUCAUCUGGUUGUAUCUAUGUGUAUAUAUAUAUACAUAAAGGAUAGUACAACCAUCUUUUAAGCACUUCACUUGCUGGAAUUAUUAUCUCAUAUUUUCCUGAACUUUUCCUUAUAGGAGGCUGUUGACUGAGCUGUGGUGGAGAUUAUUUUGAUAGUUUUGCAGCCAUUGCUACCACCAAUUGUAGGUCCUUUUGCUUGAAACUGUGUAAUCAUCAAGUGAAAUAUUUGCAUUAUAUUGGAGGAAAUCAUUUUGGUAUUUAUAUACACCAAUGAUCAUGAUGUACUAUUGUAAUCUAAACUGCUUUCUAUUAUCCUUUUGAGAGGCAGUUUUGAUGAAUAUGAUAUGGAUGUUUUUGGCUAAACGAGCAAAUGAUAUUAUUAUGUUGGUAUAUUGGAGUUUAGAAAGAUUUUAAUUGGUCAAAUGAAGUUUUAUUAUUAAAGUUUAGUUACUUUUGCCUUGGUGAUGGGUCCAGUGCCUAGCUGGCACUUAUCAUCGGCUCACGUCACGUCUUGAGUCUUAGGACGGGAUGUGUCAAGUGGUAUCAGAGCAUGGUUCAAGAGUCUCUGGGAUAUGCUGAAUUUAUUGUGAUCUUUCAACAUGUUAUUCAUAUUGUAGGUUAAGGAUGCGCAGUUGCAGAGCGGGCAGGCGUCAAAACCAACUACCUGAAAAUCCAAAUGCCCUUACAUGAGAAGAUGUAGGUGAGGCAUCAGUUUAACACACGCAAGGACUGCCGACAUAAGGUAAUGUGGUUGGAAAUGAUCCCCUAUUCGACGGACUCGCUACAGCCAUUGCAUCUAUUCUUCCCAACCCAGAUAGAGAUAUUAGCAUCGAGAGGGCAAUUAAGCUCGGUGCUAAACAUUAUGUGGGCACAGCUAACCCUACUGAUGCUGAGGAAUGGAUGAGGAAUUUAGAAAGUAUUUUUGAUAUUAUGGGUUGUUCUGACGAAAAGAAACUACGCCUUGCUACUUUCUUGCUGAAAGGUGUGGCAGCUGACUGGUGGGUUGCUUUUCGAAGCAGGUAUCGUGAAGCCAGUGACAUUACAUGGGCUAUUUUUAGAGAUGCUUUCUUUGAGACAUACUAUCCUCUUUCAUACAAGAAUGUCAAGCAAAAUGAGUUCUUGAGAAUGACUCAAGGUUUAAUGACUUUUUCUGAAUAUCACACCAAGUUUGUAGAGCUUUCAAAGUAUGCAUUGGUUCUAGUAAAUAAGGAGAAUGACAAAUGCAGGCGAUUUGAAGAGAACUUGAGGCAUGAUAUUAGGGCGAUGGUGACAGGGCAGGGACAUGCCAGAUUUGGUCCACUAGUUGAGGCGGCCUUGAGAAUCGAGGCAGCAUUACAAGCAGGACAAAGUCAGGGGAUUCAAUUAGCUAUUCGAGGAAAUCAAAGUCAGACAAGAACCUCUAGUGGACAGCAUAAAAAGAACAAAGGAAGAUUUUGGCUUGGUGUUACUCAUACUAGGAGUUUUAAGUCGAGAUCUCAGAGUUCUGGAUUCAGUCAAGAAUCCAUUCAUAGUCAGAACUCUAUCAACCAGCUAGCACAUCGUUAGUCUUCGAUUCAGAGGGCUAUGGCCUCGAGACCUAUCAACGGCCUUAGUAGUACUCGAUAUCCGCCUUGUCAGAUUUGUGGAAAACUCCAUCUUGGUAAGUGUCUUAAGGGUACCAAUGGAUGCUUUGUGUGCGGACAGGAAGGACAUUUAAGGAAAGACUAUCCAGCCCGAUUUUAGGAGGGAGGCUCAUCUCAGGGGACAAGUAUACAGAUAGGGACUAGUGAUGCCAGAUCGAGAUAGAAUAAAAAGGGAAUUCCAACAAGUAAUGUAGGUUCGACUAGUAGAGUACAGUUUGAUAUGGCCGGUGGCAGUGAUUCCAAGCAGAGGGACAGUCAGGACGUACUCAGACUCGGGGCAGAGUGUUUGCUAUGACACAACAGGAGGCCGAGGAAUCACCUGACGUAGUUAUGGGUAUGUUAUCUAUUUUUGGUAGAAAUGCUUGUUCCUUAAUUGAUUCGGGUGCUACAUAUUCCUUUAUUUCUCAUGCACUUGCUAGCCAGGCUGAUAAAAUGUCGGAGCCUUUAAACAGUGAAUUAGUAGUAAUGACUCCUGUAGGGGAUUCACUUUUAGCUAGUUGGGUAUACAAAGAUUGUGGGAUUAGAGUGAACAAUCAUGAGUUGAAAGCAUAUCUAAUUCCACUCGAUAUUCAUGAUUUUGAUGUUAUUUUGGGGAUGGACUUUUUAUCUAGACAUCAUUCUUCAGUCGAUUGUUUUAGCAAGGAAGUGAUAUUUAGAAGUCCAGAAAAUCUUGAAAUUGUUCUCACUGGAGAGCGCAGAAUUUCGCCAUCUUGUAUGAUAUCUGUCGUUGAUGCCCGAAGAAUGCUAAAAAGGGGUUGUCAUGCAUAUUUGGCUCAUGUGAUUGAUACUCAGAUCACUAAGCUGGAAAUUGACGAUAUAUCAGUUGUGUGAGAUUUCCCCGAUGUCUUUCCAGAAGACCUUCCAGGAUUACCCCCAGACAGGGAGAUUGAAUUCUGUAUUGAUUUAGUCCCCGGGACAGCACCUAUUUCACAGGUACCUUAUCGAAUGGCUCCGAAAGAGUUGAAGGAAUUAAAGGUACAAUUACAAGAUUUGGUGGAUAAAGGUUUCAUUAGACCUAGUGUAUCUCCAUGGGGAGCACCUAUUUUUUUGUGAAAAAGAAAGAUGGCACAAUGAGAUUAUAUAUUCACUACAGACAGUUGAAUAAAAUGACUAUUCGCAAUAAGUACCCUCUAUCCCGCGUUGACGAUUUGUUUGAUCAACUUCGAGGUGCCUCAGUAUUUUCAAAGAUUGAUUUGCAUUCAGGGUAUCGUCAACUCAAAAUUAGGGAUGUGGAUGUACAGAAAACUGCUUUCAGGCUGAGAUAUGGGCAUUAUGAGUUUUAGUAAUGUCAUUUGGGUUGACUAAUGCCCCAGCAGCAUUUAUGGACUUGAUGAAUAGGGUGCUUCACCCAUAUUUAGACACAUUUGUGAUUGUUUUUUGACGAUAUAUUAGUUUAUUCUCACACUCAUAAUGAACAUGCUGAGCAUUUGAGGAUUGUCUUGCUUUGCGAGAUAAGCAGUUGAUGCCAAAUUUAGCAAAUAUGAAUUUUGGCUGGAUAAAGUUGUGUUUCUAGGUAUGUUAUCUCGGCAGAAGGUAUUUAUGUAGAUCCUCAGAAGAUUGAGGCAGUAAUGAAAUAGGAGCGCCCUACUAAUGUUACAGAAGUACGGAGUUUCCUUGAGCUAGCAGGUUAUUAUCGAUGAUUCGUAGAGGAUUUUUCCAAAAUUGCUCUUCCUUUGACUAGUUUGACUUGAAAGGACAUCAAAUUUGUGUGGAAUGAGGAACGUGAGAAGAGUUUUCAAGAGUUGAAGAAAAGGUUAACUUCUGCUCCUAUACUUACUCUUCCAUCUCCAGGUGAAGAGUUUGUGAUUUAUAGUGAUGCUUCAUGCCAAGGAUUGGGUUGCGUUCUAAUGCAAAAUGGAAAAGUUGUAGCUUAUGCUUCUAGACAAUUGAAGAAGCAUAAGUUAAAUUACCCAACUCAUGAUUUGGAGUUAGCUGCAAUAGUGUUGGUAUUGAAGAUUUGGAGACAUUACAUUUAUGGUGAGAAAUGUCAAAUAUUUACCGACCAUAAAAGUCUAAAGUAUAUCUUUGAUCAGAAGGAACUGAAUCUGAGGCAAAGAAGAUGGUUGGAGUUGAUAAAGGAUUAUGAUUGUAAGAUUGACUACCAUCCGGGGAAAGCUAAUGUAGUUGCAGAUGUUCUCAGUAGAAAGACUAGUUCUUCAUCUCCAUCCAGUGCAAUAUAUGCUUCUUUGAUUUGUGAGUUCAAGAAGUUACAUACUCAGUUGUCAGUUACUACUUCGGGGGCAAUAUUAGCUCAUUUUCAAGUGAGGCCUUCUUUGAUUGAUAAGGUUAAAGAAGCUCAAUCUCAAGACCUACCAUUGAGAACCAUGAAAGCACAAGUUAGUGUAGGGUUACGGACGGAUUAUGUGAUUAGAGAUGAUGGGUCGUUAGCUAUAGGUAAUAAAUUAUGUGUUCCAGAUAUUCCAGAAUUGAAGAAUGAAAUUUUAGAAGAGGCACAUAGUUCUGCUUAUGCUAUGCAUCUAGGUAGUAUUAAAAUGUAUCAUACAUUGAAAUAUCAUUACUGGUGGAAAGGUAUGAAGAGAGAGAUAGCAGAUUUUGUAUCCAAAUGUCUUAUAUGACAGCAGGUAAAGCCAGUUCGUCAAAAAACAGUAGGACUUUUACAGUCAUUACCUAUUCCAGAAUACAUUACUAUGGACUUCUUAUUUGGUCUUCCUCGUACUCAGAAUGGUCAUGAUGGUGUUUGGGUGAUUGUGGAUCGUUUGACCAAAAUUGCCAGAUUUUUGCCAAUCAAAAUCACUUAUUCUUUGAGUAAGUUAGCAAAGUUGUACGUGGAUGAAAUAGUUAGCUUAUAUGGUGUUCCAGUAUCUAUUGUAUCUAAUAGAGAUCCCCGAUUUACAUCCAAAUUUUGGCCUAGUUUACAGGGAGCUAUGGGUACUAAACUUCAUUUCAGCACAACUUUUCAUCCUCAGACAGAUGGUCAAUCAGAGAGGACCAUACAAACUCUUGAGGAUAUGUUGAGGGCUUGUGUUUUGGAGUUCAAAGGUAGCUGGGAUACUCAUUUGUCUUUGAUGGAGUUUGCUUAUAAUAACAGUUACCACUCCAGUAUAGAAAUGACUCCUUUUGAAGCUUUAUAUGGUAGAAAGUGUAGAACACCAGUAUGUUGGAAUAAAGUUGGUGAAAGAAAGUUAGUGGGCCCUGAUUUGGUUCAAAUGGCUUCAGAAAAUGUGAAAUUGAUUAGAGAAAAUUUGAAAAUAGCACAAGACAGACAUAAAAGUUAUGCAGAUAAGCGCAGAAAAGAUCUUGAAUUUGCAGUUGGAGAUAAAGUCUUUUUGAAAUUGUCACCUUGGAAAGGAAUGUUGAGAUUUGGCAAACGAGGAAAGUUGAGUCCACGAUAUAUUGGACCUUAUCAGGUUACUGAGCGGAUUGGGCCGGUUGCAUAUCGAUUAGAUUUGCCAGAUGAAUUAUCUCGGAUCCAUGAUGUUUUUCAUGUUUCUAUGCUUCGUAAGUAUAUUGUAGAUCCUUCUCAUGUUCUAGAGUCUCAACCAGUUCUAUUGAACAAGAAUUUGACUUACGUAGAAGAACCAUUGAGAAUUUUAGACAAAAAUGUGCAAAUGCAGCUAAACAAGAUAGUUUCACUUGUUAAAGUACUUUGACAGAAUCAAACAGUAGAAGAGGCUACAUGGGAGAAUGAGGAUCAUAUGCGUGCUCAAUAUCCUCAUUUAUUCAUUGCCUAAUCAGUUGCCAGCUGAAUUUCGAGGACGAAAUUAUUUUAAGGGGGUAAGAUUGUUACAACCCAAAUUUUUCUAGUCAAAAUUCAAAUGUUGACUAGUCAAAGUCAAAAUCAAUUAAGGACUAAAAUGAAAUUAAAUAUUUUAUUGGGGUUUAUUUUAUAAUUAGCCAUAUAUGAGGGUUAAAUUGGCUACAAUUUAAAGUUGGGAAUUUACUUAUAUAUAUUUGGAAGUUUAGAAUUUAAAAGUUAUAUUCUAUUAAAGAAUAGGGACCUUCCUUAGCAAUUUUGAACAAGUGGCCUUUAUAUUCAAGCUUUGACCAUUUUUUUCCACAAAAAUCACACACAAACACACAUUAAAGUGUGUUGAACGAGAGAGAACGUGGAGAAGAGGAGAAAGUGAAGAUAAGAAAAAGAAAGGAAUGAAAAAAAAAGGAAAAGGAAAGAAGAAAUCUUGUGCCAACUACCUCAAUCUUGUUUAUUUAAUUCUUCAAGAGGUAAGGUUAAUAAUUUAUGAUUUAGUUUUUGUAAAUUUUUGUUUAGGGUUUUAAAUUUAUAACUUAUACUUGAAAAAUAUGAGAAGGAAGCUAACUAUUUGAGUAUUUGGAGCUAGUUAUUUUAGUGGAUUGGAAAAAAUGAUAAUUAGAUAUUAGGGUUUUGUCAUAUAUGGCUUAAUCCGAAAAUUUGGGGAAAAAUUUGAAUUCUUGUUAUUUUCCCUUGUGAUUGUUUUAUGGUAUUAUUAAGUUAGAUUAGUUGAAAAUAACUUAUCUUAUGCUUGAAUUCUCACUUUGGAUGAAUAUGAAGAAUAUAAGAAAUGAGCUUUUGAUAAGAUUUAUGUAUUUAGUUAAAAGAGAAUUUAAAUAAAGAAUGUGGACGAUUAUUAUCAUGAAAGCUUGUUGAAUCUUUAUAGGGCAGUCAAGAAAUGUUAGUAUUAACGAAUGAGGGAUGUAGAGUGAUUCGAAAUUAAUUGAACGUAUGUUUAAGUAACCAAAUGAAAUAUAAAUAUAAGUCUCAACUUAUUGCUUAUUGAGGGAUAUAUAUUUUAUUUUGAUGAUAAGAAAGGGUUAUUAUUGAGAAAUCUCUUGUAACUGUAUAUGAAUGGAAUUGAAGUAGCUUAUAUUUAUGAUCGUUUCAGGAGGGGAUUUGAACGUGGGAACAGCAUACCGGCCCCGUCGACCAUGUACUAGAGUCAUGUAUUUAACUCUUAUCCACUAAGGGGCUACGGUCGUGGGUAAAGGUAUCUAAUAUACAUUGAGGGGGCUACAGUCAUGUGUAAAGGUAACUCUUAUCCACUGAGGGGCUACGACCGUGGGUAAAGGUAUCCAUUAUACACUGAGGGGUUACAGCCGUGUAUAAGGAUGAUUAUGUUGUUUCCAUCUUGUACACUGAGGGGCUACGGCUGCGUACAGAAUAUUGAUCAGACAGUUUAUGUACAUAUGAUUUAUAGUUUUCAGAUCAUUAGUAGAUGUAUACUUGGGAUAUAUUUUGAUGUGAAUUUUAAGUAUAUAGUGGAUUAUUAGUCUUCAUCUUACAUUUUUCCCGCUUACAGUUCAGCUUUUGGAUUUUAGAUUAUGGUUUUUUGUUAUUGAAUUGUCUAAUGUACUUACUCAUCUGGUUGUGUGAGUGUGUGUGUGUGUGUGUAUAUAUAUAU